GAUGAACGCUGGCGGCGUGCCUAAUACAUGCAAGUCGAGCGAACAGACGAGGAGCUUGCUCCUCUGACGUUAGCGGCGGACGGGUGAGUAACACGUGGAUAACCUACCUAUAAGACUGGGAUAACUUCGGGAAACCGGAGCUAAUACCGGAUAAUAUAUUGAACCGCAUGGUUCAAUAGUGAAAGACGGUUUUGCUGUCACUUAUAGAUGGAUCCGCGCCGCAUUAGCUAGUUGGUAAGGUAACGGCUUACCAAGGCAACGAUGCGUAGCCGACCUGAGAGGGUGAUCGGCCACACUGGAACUGAGACACGGCCCAGACUCCUACGGGAGGCAGCAGUAGGGAAUCUUCCGCAAUGGGCGCAAGCCUGACGGAGCAACGCCGCGUGAGUGAUGAAGGUCUUCGGAUCGUAAACCUCUGUUAUUAGGGAAGAACAAAUGUGUAAGUAACUAUGCACGUCUUGACGGUACCUAAUCAGAAAGCAACGGCUAACUACGUG
Molecule: ribosomal RNA, 497 nt
Filed under: uncultured bacterium
Lineage: Bacteria
Description: partial 16S ribosomal RNA
Rfam family: Bacterial small subunit ribosomal RNA
Source: RNAcentral